Molecule: transfer RNA, 73 nt
Filed under: Spirochaetales bacterium
Lineage: Bacteria; Pseudomonadati; Spirochaetota; Spirochaetia; Spirochaetales
Also listed under: 1 other name
Description: tRNA-Gly
Rfam family: tRNA
About the family: Transfer RNA (tRNA) molecules are approximately 80 nucleotides in length.
Source: RNAcentral
GCAAGAAUAACUCAGUUGGUAGAGUGCGACCUUGCCAAGGUCGAUGCCGAGGGUUCGAGUCCCUUUUCUUGCU